This 1593-nucleotide long non-coding RNA is filed under the name Arabidopsis lyrata. Its description in RNAcentral is "long non-coding RNA (ALYR_LNC002150)". The record is from RNAcentral. Lineage: Eukaryota; Viridiplantae; Streptophyta; Magnoliopsida; Brassicales; Brassicaceae.
CUUGAUGAAGAUCGAAAGAACCAUUUGCAGACCAAAUGCUGCAGCCAUUACAACCGUGAUAUCAUUGUUCGUCUCGAGGUAGGACCGUAGAUUCAGGGCAACAAAGCACGAUGAUGCACUACCAGCUAAGAGUAUAAUCACCCAUCUCAGAAACUCUACUGGAAUAAGCAACGGAAGCUGCAAAAACACAUCCUGAGUGUUAGAAUGCUUAAGCAGCAUGAAGUACAAAGUUGUGAUACCAUUUUAGGUUGAUUUUCUGUAUUGUGAAUGGUCAUUGAAUGUUAAGUUACCAAACCAUUGUGUAUUAAGUAUAUGCAUUUGUGUUUAGUGUUACAGAUCAUCAAUUGAUUAAUUUUAACAGCGAAAGAGACCUAAGUUACUGAAGAUACUUACAGAGGUUGGAACGAAAAUGAAGAGAGAGUAUCCCCAGAGGCACCAGAAUCUUAGAAGAUCAGCUUUGGACCCCAUAUAACGGAGUGAGAAAUAAAAUCCCAGAGGCACAAUUAUUGCAUAUCCAUAGAUUAUAGAUGCUGCCAAAUUCAUAUAGUUCACAUCAAAGAUCCAAGGAGCAUUACUGUCGGUUCGUUUCUUCACGAGAUACGUGGCACAAUUUCCGAGAGAAGCAAGCACAAACACAAGCGUAGUGCAGAUCCAGACAAGUCCAUACCUAACAGAGCGAAGAGAUGCACACACGAGUCAUUAAUCUAGAAAAUUUUGUGAAAGGCCCAGCUUUUAGCCAAUCUUUAGAGGAUAAAAUGUUUUGAUGUUUUCUAUUCAUUUGUCCAAGAGAAAAUGAGGAUAUUUUAAUCUAUCGCCUGACGUAACAAAGCAUUAAAUGCAUCCUAUUAGCUUAUAAAGCAAUAAUCCACUAAACCAAUGACAACAUCAACACACAAAGUGGGUAAAGUUUUAGUCUUUACUCAACGAGGCCUGUCUUUAAUUGCCUUGAAGCCUGAUCGGACAAAUCCUAUUGUCAGAUCUUAUGUUUCCUAAGCAAAAAGAUUACACCACAUCAACCUUACGAUAGUCUAAUGGAAACUAUGUUACAGACUAUGAAAAUAGCUAGAAGCCUGAACCUAACGUGAGGAAAUGUUUUAACAAGCGAUAGUUAGCUGAGAGCCUUAAUUAAGUCUAAAGUAAAUCAGUUUCAGAGAAACACUCACGCAGCAAAACUAUAGUAACAAAAAACAUUAAACAAGCGAAAAGAAAAAGGGUAAAGCAGGAAACCUACGGUUUUAUCAAUAACUCAAAUUACUUAAUAUUUGAUGAAACUACGGUUAUAAUCAUCAAAUACGAUAGCUCUAUUGGCAAUCUCUACUCUAGUAGAGCUAUUUAGCUAACACCUGGCAACUGGAAAGCAUUCCCCAAACCUAUGACAUAUUAAAUUCAUUCCUUUGACCUGACACAACAGGAAUGUGCUUCCAGAAAGGUGCAGAAGAUGACACAUAAAAUGGUAACAAAUUAACAGACUGACUUAAAAUGGUAAGAACUCUCGCAGAGCAAGUGCAAUCACCGAGAAGACUGAAGGGCAAAAAGGCAUUAAAAGACUUACAAAUCAGGGUUUGCAUCAAUCUUGUUGAAAAAAUCCCCACU